AACAAGUUAUGCAUAGUAUUGUUAAAACAAAUUCGAAAUAUAAGGAAGACGAUUGUUCCGACUCAAAUGCCGAUGUUAAUUCCCUGGAUGUGUGUGUACACUGAAUACACAGAAUCCUUUUCCGCCAUACAACACACCCCACAUGUCAAAUCUCCGCUCAACCUAGCUCCCGCUUCACCAGUCAGUCAGCGGAAAACACUCACGAGAUUCACAACUCCGUCUCAACCCUGGCUCCUUUGUGAUGAUGAUUCAGAUACGGAACCAACAACAGAAGACACUGCUUACACCUAGCUCCGCGCUCCACAAAGUUCCAGAGAUCCGGGCGGAACCAGACUUCCUUCCAUUAUCCUGUAUACAGGAUAAGUCCGCAAUCUCUCCCUCCCACAGGAGAAGGUAACAAUAGUUCGCUCCGCAAUGUUCCAGAGAUCCGGGCGGAACCAGACUUCCUUCCAUUAUCCUGUAUACAGGAUAAGUCCGCAAUCUCUCUCCCUUAGACUAA
RNAcentral lists this long non-coding RNA (499 nucleotides) under Eurytemora carolleeae. RNAcentral describes it as "uncharacterized LOC111711201". Lineage: Eukaryota; Metazoa; Arthropoda; Copepoda; Calanoida; Temoridae. The record is from RNAcentral.